GAUGAACGCUGGCGGCGUGCCUAAUACAUGCAAGUCGAGCGAACGGACGAGAAGCUUGCUUCUCUGAUGUUAGCGGCGGACGGGUGAGUAACACGUGGAUAUCCUACCUAUAAGACUGGGAUAACUUCGGGAAACCGUAGCUAAUACCGGAUAAUAUUUUGAACCGCAUGUUUCAAAAGUGAAAGACGGUCUUGCUGUCACUUAUAGAUGGAUCCGCGCUGCAUUAGCUAGUUGGUAAGGUAACGGCUUACCAAGGCAACGAUGCAUAGCCGACCUGAGAGGGUGAUCGGCCACACUGGAACUGAGACACGGUCCAGACUCCUACGGGAGGCAGCAGUAGGGAAUCUUCCGCAAUGGGCGAAAGCCUGACGGAGCAACGCCGCGUGAGUGAUGAAGGUCUUCGGAUCGUAAAACUCUGUUAUUAGGGAAGAACAUAUGUGUAAGUAACUGUGCACAUCUUGACGGUACCUAAUCAGAAAGCCACGGCUAACUACGUG
RNAcentral lists this ribosomal RNA (497 nucleotides) under uncultured bacterium. RNAcentral describes it as "partial 16S ribosomal RNA". It matches the Rfam family "Bacterial small subunit ribosomal RNA", at positions 28 to 507 of the family's 1533-position model. The record is from RNAcentral.